This 450-nucleotide ribosomal RNA is filed under the name uncultured Glomus. RNAcentral's name for it is "SSU rRNA". It matches the Rfam family "Eukaryotic small subunit ribosomal RNA", at positions 569 to 1023 of the family's 1831-position model. The record is from RNAcentral. Lineage: Eukaryota; Fungi; Glomeromycota; Glomeromycetes; Glomerales; Glomeraceae.
AGCAGCCGCGGUAAUUCCAGCUCCAAUAGCGUAUAUUAAAGUUGUUGCAGUUAAAAAGCUCGUAGUUGAAUUUCGGGAUCAAUCUGUUGGUCGUGCCUUUGGUACGUACUAGCUUAUUGAUUUCUCCCUUCUGACGAACCAUGAUGUCAUUAAUUUGGUGUCAUGGGAAAUCAGGACUGUUACUUUGAGAAAAUUAGAGUGUUUAAAGCAGGCUCACGCUUGAAUACAUUAGCAUGGAAUAAUGAAAUAGGACGUUUUGAUUCUAUUUUGUUGGUUUCUAGGAUCGACGUAAUGAUUAAUAGGGAUAGUUGGGGGCAUUAGUAUUCAAUUGUCAGAGGUGAAAUUCUUGGAUUUAUUGAAGACUAACUACUGCGAAAGCAUUUGCCAAGGAUGUUUUCAUUAAUCAAGAACGAAAGUUAGGGGAUCGAAGACGAUCAGAUACCGUCGUAG